CAACUCAGAUUAACCUUCUGCGGGAACACUGACGGUUACAUUCACCAAAGCCUGCAAUAUGAAUAUGAUAGCUGGAGCUCCAGCAGCCAUUUUGGACCAGGAGACUCAGCAGCCAUGGCUCACGGGCCCAGCCGCUCCGCGGCAAGUGGGAUCUUCCCGGACCGGGGCACGAACCCGUGUCCCCUGCAUCUACAGGCGGACUCGCAACCACUGCGCCACCAGGGAAGCCCAUGACAUGCUGUCUUAAUCAGCUUGGGUUGCUAUAACAAAAUACCAUAACCUGGGUGGCUUAUCAACAACAGACAUUUAUUUCUCAGUUCUGGAGGGUGGAAGUCCAAGAUCACGAUCAGGUUCUGGUUGGGACCUGGGACCUGGGACCUGGGACCCUUUGCUGCAGUACUUGCACCUGGACGAAUAUCUCCUCGACCAGCAGAAUACAAGAAACUCUAAGGAACUAAAAAUAACUGCCCACAUGUGCAGUUGGGGCAAAAUAUGAACAAUGGGGUACAAAAAGGCCAAAACCCAGCUGCCACUUCUGAGGUGCCAGGAGCAAAAGCAGGGUCCUGCGCAUGAUCCCUACAAGGGGGUGGGCAGACCACCUAAGCUGCCCCUCUGGCCUACCCACCGAUCCACCCCACCCUCACCCCAUUUAAGGGACCAGCUUGUCACCCCCUCAGGGAGUGAGCAAGGACACCUGUUACAUGUUUUUGCUCCCUUGUGCUGCAGCGAUAAAGCCUUGCCUGAAUUCCUUGUCUGGCCUCAUCAAUUUCUAUUGAUUAAAGAGUCCAAAAACCCAGAUCGGUAAAAGGAGUUUGCUGUCGUUCAUGAGAUGAGGCCCAGAUUGAUCUGGAUUCAGAGCAGCUUUCACACUGAGGACCUCUCAGUUUGCUACUAUGAGUCCACAUAAGUGGGCACCACAUGGGGGUCUUGGGAAAGCCCCUAGAGAGCCAGAGCCAGCUUUCCAGGCGUGUGUGAAUUGUGCACUCCUACACGACCCCACACUCAAAAGGGCCUCACAUUUGGUUUAAUGCUCUGCGUUUGCCAUCUUGAAGUUCUUAAUAAUUUUA
This is a long non-coding RNA of Mesoplodon densirostris (Blainville's beaked whale), 1067 nucleotides long. RefSeq lists it as uncharacterized. Lineage: Eukaryota; Metazoa; Chordata; Mammalia; Artiodactyla; Ziphiidae. The record is from RefSeq and is a predicted model, not a curated record. The transcript has 4 exons.